RNAcentral lists this long non-coding RNA (346 nucleotides) under Homo sapiens (human). RNAcentral describes it as "HSALNT0100936". The record is from RNAcentral. Lineage: Eukaryota; Metazoa; Chordata; Mammalia; Primates; Hominidae.
GAAUGUAGGUAAGAUUAAGAUAGAAAGUGCCACCCUGGGAAGAGGCCAGUAAAGUGCCACCCUGGGAAGAGGCCAGUGCAUGAUUCAAGGACAUUUAGAACAGACAACACCAAGCUCAAGUGGUGCAGCAUUUACUGAUAGCAAGAGAGGAGAGAGUGUGUACACAAGAUCCAGCCGUUUGCGUCAGUGCCCUGUGGCCAGCAGGUCCACUCUGCAGACCAUGUGGUCAGUACUGUAUUUUUUUAAAACUUGAAAUGAAUGAGGAUAUGUGCAUUCCAUCAUUCCUUGGAGCAAUUGUUUUCCCCUUUUAACUUUAAAAAAGAAAAGUUUGGUUGAGACCUGGCAG